CCCAUCUGCAACCUGGUGGUGAGCCAGUCACCAACAGAUGAGUUCUGCUGAGGGUGAGAGCCACGGGCUGAGUGCAUCUGUGGCAGUGACAGCACCAGUGCCACAGCCAUGGCAAGGACCAGCUGAUGUGACCUCUGGGGAGGGCACCUUCCUACAGGCAGAAAAAGAAGGGUGGGAUUGUUGGGAUGGAAAUAUUUUCCACUAAGAAGUGUGAUCCUGCCUGGUAAGACUCCCUUCAUCCAAAUCCUUUCUGGAUUGAAAGUUUCUGGACAGAAAACAGGAUUCAGAGCUGGAGGAAGCAGGAGGGAGGAACUGCUGUACUUCUUGUUGGUUCACCAUGUGUGCAAAUUCCUUUAUCUUCUGGGAAAAUGUGAAGUUUACAUCAUAAACCAGAGGCAUAUGGUAAGUUCUGAGGCCACUUCUGUCACCCCUACAGAAGGAUCAUUUGUCAACCAUGCAGUGUGUUUCCUUUCCAAACUGCCAAUAUGAGGAAAAGUAGGCUUUUGCGUGGUGCUGUGUGUGAUGGCAGGUAGCUGUGGGCAAAGAGUGACUUUUAGCAGACACUUUUCUAAGGAAAGAAAUGUCCAAGGUGUUGUCUAGCAGAGAAUGAUGGCUAAAGGCAAAGGAAAAGGAUACUCAAAGAUGGAAAAACUGUUACUUUGAUGUGCAAUGGUAACAUACGCCAUGUGAGCAAGAAGUUCAAGGUGCCCCUUAUUUAAAGUGUUUAGGACAUGGAGUGAUGCAGGGGUGGAGCACAGAAGGAGACAAAAACCUCUUUGCAUGCUCUCUAAGACUUGAAGACAGCUCUUGAAGGAGCCUCUUGCAGAAAGAGAUUUUAAGGAAAAGAGCAGAGAAGCAACUGUUGUGUGGAUUUGGAUGCAGGCAAAGCUUAAUGUCCGUGAUGAAUAAGGGCAACUCCUUUGACAGGUGACAUGGAAUGAUGUGACUGUCCUGUCACCAUGCUGAGCUGAAAUCUCACAUGAUCUGGCUGAUGUGAUCAAAUAAAUGUUUCUUCCACUUGACUGCAGCUUCUCUGAAAGCAUCAAGCCCCAGGCUGUGGGGUGAAUGUAGAAUUUUGCUCCUUAUUAUUACAGAUUAUUAUAUUUCCUGUGCCAGUCACAGGAGACCUGCCUGAAAAGACAUGCAUCCCCAUGGAGUGGCAGCCAGAACCUGGAUCCCAAAGCAUCCCUGAAAGGGCUGCAUGAUGGUAAGUGCUGGGUCAGUCUGAAACACUUCCAAGCCAUGACUGUUAUUUUUCUCUGCUAAAAGCCAUUAAAAAACUCUGAGGAGUAACACAAAUAACAGGGAUGAAAGCCUGAUCUUUGUCAGAGAUCCAGGCACUUGGCUGCAUUGUAGUUUCAGCAGCGGACAUGUGGCUGACUUAAAAUCAAGGAGGCAAAUAUUAUAGGAGCACUCAAUGCAGCCAUGGAAAACAGGGAUUUAACCCUUUUUCAGCCUAACCAGUUGCAUCUUGGAGUGAACAUUGGCCGUGUAUUUCAUAAAGGAGGAGCUGCUUUUGUUUUUGUUUUAAAAGAACAUUCAGAUCAGCUGAGUUUGAGCCAAUACUGAGAACAGAGCUGCCAAAUUUAUCACUGACCAGAAGAUUUGUAUGGG
This 1614-nucleotide long non-coding RNA is filed under the name Taeniopygia guttata (zebra finch). RNAcentral's name for it is "lncRNA (ENSTGUG00000025497.1)". The record is from RNAcentral. Lineage: Eukaryota; Metazoa; Chordata; Aves; Passeriformes; Estrildidae.